This 66-nucleotide transfer RNA is filed under the name Geocapromys ingrahami (Bahamian hutia). RNAcentral's name for it is "tRNA-Lys". It matches the Rfam family "tRNA". From Rfam's summary of the family: Transfer RNA (tRNA) molecules are approximately 80 nucleotides in length. The record is from RNAcentral. Lineage: Eukaryota; Metazoa; Chordata; Mammalia; Rodentia; Capromyidae.
CAUUAUGAAGCUAGUAAGCGUUAACCUUUUAAGUUAAAGACUAGGGAUAGAAUUUCCUCAUAAUGA